Molecule: long non-coding RNA, 1152 nt
Filed under: Helianthus annuus (common sunflower)
Lineage: Eukaryota; Viridiplantae; Streptophyta; Magnoliopsida; Asterales; Asteraceae
Source: RNAcentral
AAAACAUAAAGGAUAAUAAAAGUUGGCCACUCUAUUAAUACACAUCCACUCCUUCUCAUCUAAACUCACACUGCCUUUCACCUUCCUCCCUCUCGGUUACAUAUACAAACACAGGGAAUUUCUCACCUGCACAAGACAAAAACCCAAAUCAAACAACUUUCCUCACCAAACAAAACCCAACCCAACCCAGCCGACCACCCCUACCCCUCUCGGUCUAUCUCUCCUCUCGUUCUAUACAUUCAAACACAAAGAAAUCAGCUCCCAACCCACUUGUUUUACCCCCUAUUAAUGGGCCAACCACCACCAUCCUUUGGUGGUGGCAGACUACAACAACAAACACCACCACCACCACAGGCGGCGGCGCUGUGGUGGUUGGUACCGAAUGAUGAAGAGAACAGAACCGCCGCACGCGGCGGCGGUAUGACGGCAAGAGAGAGAGAGAGUAGAGAGAGAUGGUGACAGCGGCUGACUAGCGACGGAGCCGUCUCUCCGACGGCGGCGGCGGUGGUCUGAGACUUAGACCGGCAGUUCGUGUUACGGACCGGUGGUUCGUGUCAAGAUCCAGCGGUUUUUGCUUUUGACUAAUGGGUUAACCGGGAGUAGCGGCUGAAGACGGUGGUGAUGACGAUGGUGACGGCAGUGGCAGCGUGACGGUGGUUGUGUCUCGAUCCACGAGAUUUCCGCAAACGUCAACAGUUGGGGUUCGGGUUAGAUGUUGAGUUUCGGCAAACGUCAACAGUUGGGGUUCGGGUUAGAUGUUGAGUUUCGGGUUUUCGGGUGCAGGUCAGCGCUGUGGUUCAGCUUGUUGCGGUUCACACGGUUCAGCAGGUUUAAUUUUCGGGCCAACUGGUUAACGGGUUGACUCGGUCAAACUGAGUCAACUCAGUCAACAAGUCAAAGCUGGUCAACAUCGAGUCAUUGCUCGGGCUUGGUCAACUCGGGUCAGAUUAGGAAGCGGUUCGGUCGACUCGGUCAAACCCGGUCAACAGCGAGUUGACUCGGUCAACUCAGCUAGCUCACUCGACAUUUCGUCACGAAGACUUGGAAUAUUGUAGAAUGCACGCUAGCAAGUCCCGACUUGGAAACGACAUCGCAAAGUCGUAUAUAGCUAGCUUUGCACAGGAAUAUUCAGGUUACUUUUCAAACAAUGGA